Molecule: ribosomal RNA, 492 nt
Filed under: uncultured bacterium
Lineage: Bacteria
Description: partial 16S ribosomal RNA
Rfam family: Bacterial small subunit ribosomal RNA
Source: RNAcentral
AGUGAACGCUGGCGGUAGGCCUAACACAUGCAAGUCGAACGGCAGCACAGUAAGAGCUUGCUCUUACGGGUGGCGAGUGGCGGACGGGUGAGGAAUACAUCGGAAUCUACUUUUUCGUGGGGGAUAACGUAGGGAAACUUACGCUAAUACCGCAUACGACCUACGGGUGAAAGCAGGGGAUCUUCGGACCUUGCGCGAUUGAAUGAGCCGAUGUCGGAUUAGCUAGUUGGCGGGGUAAAGGCCCACCAAGGCGACGAUCCGUAGCUGGUCUGAGGGGAUGAUCAGCCACACUGGAACUGAGACACGGUCCAGACUCCUACGGGAGGCAGCAGUGGGGAAUAUUGGACAAUGGGCGAAAGCCUGAUCCAGCCAUGCCGCGUGGGUGAAGAAGGCCUUCGGGUUGUAAAGCCCUUUUGUUGGGAAAGAAAAGCAGCAGGUUAAUACCCCGCUGUUCUGACGGUACCAAAAGAAUAAGCACCGGCUAACUUCGUG